This 427-nucleotide ribosomal RNA is filed under the name uncultured Nitrosospira sp. RNAcentral's name for it is "bacterial SSU rRNA". It matches the Rfam family "Bacterial small subunit ribosomal RNA", at positions 355 to 774 of the family's 1533-position model. Lineage: Bacteria; Pseudomonadati; Pseudomonadota; Betaproteobacteria; Nitrosomonadales; Nitrosomonadaceae. The record is from RNAcentral.
UGGGGAAUUUUGGACAAUGGGGGAAACCCUGAUCCAGCCAUGCCGCGUGAGUGAAGAAGGCCUUCGGGUUGUAAAGCUCUUUCAGCCGGAACGAAAAGGUCACGGCUAAUACCCGUGACAAAUGACGGUACCGGAAGAAGAAGCACCGGCUAACUACGUGCCAGCAGCCGCGGUAAUACGUAGGGUGCAAGCGUUAAUCGGAAUUACUGGGCGUAAAGCGUGCGCAGGCGGUUUUGUAAGUCAGAUGUGAAAUCCCCGGGCUUAACCUGGGAACUGCGUUUGAAACUACAAGGCUAGAGUGUGGCAGAGGGGGGUGGAAUUCCACGUGUAGCAGUGAAAUGCGUAGAGAUGUGGAGGAACACCGAUGGCGAAGGCAGCCCCCUGGGUUAACACUGACGCUCAGGCACGAAAGCGUGGGGAGCAAACA